CGCCCUUGGACUUGUUGUCGGUGGCGUCGUCCUCCAGCUUCUGCAGCUCGUUCCUCAGCGGCUCCACGCGUUUGAGCAUGUCCGCAUAGUUCAGCUGUCACACACGCCGCAACACGGGUCACAGGCAUCAGCAUUUUUAGCAUGAUGAAGGCAAAUGACUGAAGUCAUGGACAUGUGCAGUAGCUCAACACCAAGUUUACACAGGAGUGACCACCCACCUCAUAGUCGAUGAUUGGCACAUUGGGAGCAGAUGGGAGGGGCACAGUGGUGAUGCGGCGGAUGUACUCUCCAAGCUCCGCCCGGAUUUUCAGUCUGCCAUCUCCAGAGAAGG
Long non-coding RNA from Alosa sapidissima (American shad), 331 nucleotides. RefSeq lists it as uncharacterized. Lineage: Eukaryota; Metazoa; Chordata; Actinopteri; Clupeiformes; Clupeidae. The transcript is spliced from 3 exons. The record is from RefSeq and is a predicted model, not a curated record.